RNAcentral lists this ribosomal RNA (440 nucleotides) under Fusarium oxysporum. RNAcentral's name for it is "eukaryotic LSU rRNA". It matches the Rfam family "Eukaryotic large subunit ribosomal RNA", at positions 137 to 585 of the family's 3401-position model. Lineage: Eukaryota; Fungi; Ascomycota; Sordariomycetes; Hypocreales; Nectriaceae. The record is from RNAcentral.
CCCGAGUUGUAAUUUGUAGAGGAUACUUUUGAUGCGGUGCCUUCCGAGUUCCCUGGAACGGGACGCCAUAGAGGGUGAGAGCCCCGUCUGGUUGGAUGCCAAAUCUCUGUAAAGUUCCUUCAACGAGUCGAGUAGUUUGGGAAUGCUGCUCUAAAUGGGAGGUAUAUGUCUUCUAAAGCUAAAUACCGGCCAGAGACCGAUAGCGCACAAGUAGAGUGAUCGAAAGAUGAAAAGCACUUUGAAAAGAGAGUUAAAAAGUACGUGAAAUUGUUGAAAGGGAAGCGUUUAUGACCAGACUUGGGCUUGGUUAAUCAUCUGGGGUUCUCCCCAGUGCACUUUUCCAGUCCAGGCCAGCAUCAGUUUUCCCCGGGGGAUAAAGGCGGCGGGAAUGUGGCUCUCUUCGGGGAGUGUUAUAGCCCACCGUGUAAUACCCUGGGGGG